This 253-nucleotide ribosomal RNA is filed under the name uncultured bacterium. RNAcentral's name for it is "partial 16S ribosomal RNA". It matches the Rfam family "Bacterial small subunit ribosomal RNA", at positions 524 to 776 of the family's 1533-position model. The record is from RNAcentral.
UACGUAGGGGGCAAGCGUUGUCCGGAAUCAUUGGGCGUAAAGCGCGCGUAGGCGGCCCGGUAAGUCCGCUCUGAAAGUCCAGGGCUUAACCCUGGAAAGCGGGUGGAUACUGCCGGGCUAGAAUCCGGAAGAGGCGAGUGGAAUUCCUGGUGUAGCGGUGGAAUGCGCAGAUAUCAGGAGGAACACCAAUAGCGAAGGCAGCUCGCUGGGACGGUAUUGACGCUAAGGCGCGAAGGCGUGGGGAGCAAACAGG